UUGGUCACAAGGGGAACCAGUCCCGUUUACUCUGCACCAAGAGCUGCUUCACUGAGGCACCAGCAAAACCGCCGUGCCGGCCACAAGAGUCACACUGGCGACCCGUGGGGCUCCUCCACUGGAAAUCUUCUGGUCUGGCCUCCCAGUCUUUCAGUGACGGCUUAGGGCUUCCCUCUUCAGCGACAUUCAGGUUCCGGAAUGACAUCUUUGUAUCCCCCUCCCCUCAGUCACCAGGCCAUUCUACCAGUCUGAUUCUUCACAAAAUACGGCAGAAGAUCAGCCAACACAACUCUGAGGAAGAAAGAGGGCCAACUUCUAAGACUUGAAUGCUUCACUCAUGUCUGACCUCCCUUUUUACAAAAGCUUGUAUUAAUUCCUCAUGCUCCUGUAGGACAGGAUUGUUUCACACACUGAAAAACCAUCAUGAUUCUGGUAAGCGUAUGACAUAAGGUAAGUGUAAGCCUCACAGAAUCAGGCUCUUACCUACCUAUGAUACUGCAGGUAAUCUGCCAGCUCCUACCGCCAAUAAGAUAGCCCCAGAAGUAACAUAACAGCACCUAAAGCUACUUAUGUACUUUUCACUCAGCGGGAUCUCUCUUUGUGGUAUUCAUGCCAUGUCAUGUUGCAAUUGGUAGUAGAGCUUGGUGAAUGUCUGGUUCGGGAGUAUGUUUUAUCUAACAAAUCCUCAUGUUUCUUAGAAAGUCUUUUGUUUCUUUUAAUUCUCCUAUAGUAGCUGGUACAGCCUCUGCUGUUAGAAGAUACUGAAAUAUCCUUUCAUAUUCAGAAAUAUGAAAGAAAAAUGAAGACUGUGCUUUUCAAAUAACUAGGAAGUUACAGCUCAGUGAACUUUUAACUUUGUGUGGGUCGGGGAAGUAAUGCCACUUAUCAAUAAUCUAGAAAAAUGUUCAUCCCUACUGUAAUGCUCAUAGCAUGACUUACGGAAAAAUCGAACAUAUAGCAAACAUUGUUUCAACUUAUUGCACUUUAUUCUUAAGCUCCAUGAAGGUAAAUGAAGAAAACCUUGAUUUACUCUUAAAGUCAUAUAAUUAUUUAAUGACAAUGCUGACUUGUGUAGAAUCUUACAGAUCAUAAUUUGUUAUUAGAAUAAGUGCAGAACAUAAUACAAUGAACAAGUUCUUUCUAAGCUUCUUAGAUAAUUUUGAAUGCCCUAAUAUAAAUGUAUUUAAGUUAGUUGCUCUGACAUAAAGAAGUUUAAAUUGUUCUUGGUAAAGAUUUUCAUUUCUAAACCUUCAGUUUAUUAUGAUCUAAAUUACUGAGGCCACGAAAUUCAGACCUGAAGUACAUUAAAAGGAAAUAUUUUUAGGAGGUAAUAUCAGUGAUAAAUUCUAAAACCACAUAGUCAAGCUUUUUAUAAAGAGCAUAUCAUGAGCAUGUGCACGUUUACACUUUAAAAAUCUUCUCUAAAUUAUAUUUGAUUUUUGUGCUUAAACAUUACUUAUUUUUCAUAAAGCACAAAUUAUUUGUCUUUCAACAUUUUCUUACCACUCUGGAGUGUAUUUCUUUGGCAUACAAUGGGAAUAAAAAUUCUGAUUCCCCUUCCAAGCGUAGUCCGUCUUUUGUUACACGCAAGUGGCCCAUUCCUGUCUGUUAAAAAAAAUGAGAGAAAUUCAUUUUUUAUUGUUUACUUUUUCAUUUAUCUUAAUAUUGACUUAAAUCACACAUGCAUUUUCAUGUAUUGCCUACCACCUUUUCUCUAUUUCUCCUAAAUUAAAACUUUAGCUUUUUUUUUUUUUCUUUUUCCGAUGGAUCCUUGCUCUGUCGCCAGGCUGGAGUGCAAUGGCAUGAUCUUGGCUCACUGCAACCACCUCUGCCUCCUGUGUUCAAGCGAUUCUCCUGCCUCAGCCUCCUGAGUAGCUGGAACUACAGAUAGUUUGUUGUUUACCCAAAACAAUGGAAAUCAGGAACUGGAAGAGAUAUCUGCACUUUCAUGUUCAUCAUAGCACUAUGUAUAGUGGCCAAUCAAGAUGUGGAAAAAAUGUAAAUGCCCAUAGAGGACAAAUGAAUAAAGAAAAUGUAUAUCCAUAUAGUAGAAGAUUAUUCAACCUUAAAAAAGAAAGACAUUCUGCAGUGUGAGACAGCAUGGGACAGAAAUAAUUGCGUGGAAAGUGAAGAAUUAUAAUAAUAGGAGGUGUUUCAGAAUGAAUGACUUCAAGCAUUGUUUUUACAAAGAACCGGUGCACAUAUCACACCUUCAGAUGUGUGUAAGCAACAGACUGACCUGCCUGCGAUGUUCUCUGCAAUAUUAUUAACUCACUGUAGCUACCUCACAAAAUUAAGACAUGCUACAUUAAGCAUUUUUUCAAACGUACACAAAAUGUUAUCAGAGAAUAUAAGACUAUGUAGCUAUCUUUAAAAUACGAGAAUGUUUAAAAUAGAAUAUGAAUUCCUUAAGAUUGUUGAUGUUGUAGUUACUAAAUGUGUUGUCAGAUGCUGAAGUGUGUACAUGGAUUUACUGUAUAUCAGCAUGGGGUUUUUUAAAAAUGAAAGAGCAUAACUUGAUUACCUCUGUAAAUAAAAAAAUUAAAAAUGAGAGUGGCAUUUAGGUAAAUAUUUAUGAAUUAAUGAAAUUAGGAAAACUGAUUUAUACAGUUUUACAAACUGACGAAUUAAAUAAUCAGUAAAUCAUCUUGACUUAAUCAACCACAAACUAAAGACUAUGACGAUAUUCCCACUAUGUAGAGAUGACUAAUAAAAAAAUGUACUGUAAAAACACGCAAAAGCAGCAGACUAUAGUUUACAAUGAGGUUUAAAGAAAAGGGAAAAAUGUAAAUGCUACAUAUAUAUAUUUUGUUCCUGAAAUCUGAUUCGGGCAGAGAAAAAACAAAUGUUAAUUACAUUAAAGGAAACUCCUAUCAAUACAGUAUAGACAAAGCGAUAUAGUGAACAAAACAAGAACAUGCUUACCAGAAAACAACGAUACUUACUGGAGAA
Molecule: non-coding RNA, 2952 nt
Organism: Callithrix jacchus (white-tufted-ear marmoset)
Lineage: Eukaryota; Metazoa; Chordata; Mammalia; Primates; Cebidae
Source: RefSeq, a predicted model, not a curated record